Molecule: ribosomal RNA, 445 nt
Filed under: uncultured bacterium
Lineage: Bacteria
Description: partial 16S ribosomal RNA
Rfam family: Bacterial small subunit ribosomal RNA
Source: RNAcentral
GUAAGGAAUAUUGGUCAAUGGAGGCAACUCUGAACCAGCCAUGCCGCGUGCAGGAAGACGGCCCUCUGGGUUGUAAACUGCUUUUAUCUGGGAAUAAACCUGCUUACGUGUAAGUAGCUGAAUGUACCAGAAGAAUAAGGAUCGGCUAACUCCGUGCCAGCAGCCGCGGUAAUACGGAGGAUCCAAGCGUUAUCCGGAUUUAUUGGGUUUAAAGGGUGCGUAGGCGGCCUGUUAAGUCAGGGGUGAAAGACGGUGGCUCAACCAUCGCAGUGCCCUUGAUACUGAUGGGCUUGAAUGGACUAGAGGUAGGCGGAAUGAGACAAGUAGCGGUGAAAUGCAUAGAUAUGUCUCAGAACACCGAUUGCGAAGGCAGCUUACUAUGGUCUUAUUGACGCUGAGGCACGAAAGCGUGGGGAUCGAACAGGAUUAGAUACCCUUGUAGUCC